RNAcentral lists this ribosomal RNA (320 nucleotides) under Planctomycetia bacterium. RNAcentral describes it as "bacterial SSU rRNA". It matches the Rfam family "Bacterial small subunit ribosomal RNA", at positions 1 to 330 of the family's 1533-position model. The record is from RNAcentral. Lineage: Bacteria; Pseudomonadati; Planctomycetota; Planctomycetia.
UAAACUGAAGGGUUUGAUACUGGCUCAGAACGUACGCUGACGGAAUGGAUUAGGCAUGCAAGUCGAACGCUUGAGCUCUUCGGAGCAAUAGAGUGGCGAACGGGUGAGUAAGGCGUGAAUAACCUACCUUGAUGAGGGGGACAACCAUUCGAAAGGAUGGCUAAUACCCCAUAAGCUCCUACGGGAGGAAAGCUGGCUUUGCUGGCGCUUCAGGAGGGGUUCACGUACUAUUAGCUUGUUGGUGGGGUAAUGGCCUACCAAGGCGAUGAUGGUUAGCGGGUCUGAGAGGAUGAUCCGUCACACUGGGACUGAGACACUGC